GCGACGGCGCUCCGGCGACAUCUUUGUUGUGGGCAAAGUGUGCCAACCGCGAGUAGCAGGUGUUCUCUCAGGCUUACAUUUGUGAGCGUACGGAAUCUUUAAGAAUCUCGUGUUUACAAGGUAAAACUUUAGUAGCUCGUUAAAUAACUAGUUUUCAGGAUUGUUUGUAUUAAAUGAGGACUGGUCUGAGGCCUAAGAAUCUGCGUAUUCCGCCAGUUCUGCAAGAGAUUCUUAAACACUAAACUCCAAUUUUGACGACUUUUCAGGCCCUCUGACUCUGUCUUCCUUAACAGUGAUCCUUGCCCUUACUGGCUUCAUUGAUACUUCAAGGUGAGAUUCGCAGAAAAUAAGUUAGGUUUCAUAGUAGUUAGCAGCCUUAUUUAGCUUCCAAGAACUGUCUGCCUAUAACCACCUAACUAUUGACUUUCGUGGAGGGCGGGGCGCGGUGGGGGUGGGAAUCAGUACCUUGCUCAUCAAUAUUGGGACAGAAUGAAGCCAGCACAGAAAAGUUUGUAUGCUUCGAUUUUAACAAACAGACAAACAAAGACGUGUAAGUAUGUACUUCUCUAGAGUCUAAAGAUAUUCCAGAGAUGUUAGCAUUCUUUAAAAUAAUUUGGGAGGUCCUCCGAGAAUUUUUCAUUCUUGGGCCCCUUCUUCACAGUGGGCCCAAGAACAAAUUCUUAGUUUCGUUAUUAACGUUAAUAAAUACGAUUUAUUCUUUUUUGUUUGUUUGUCUUUUUGCCAUUUCUUGGGUCGCUCCCGAGGCAUAUGGAGGUUCCCAGGCUAGGGGUCGAAUCGGAGCUGCAGCCGCCAGCCUACGCCAGAGCCACAGCAACGCAGGAUCCGAGCUGCGUCUGCAACCUACACCACAGCUCACGGCAAUACCAGAUCCUUAACCCACUGAGCGAGGCCAGGGACGAACUUGAAACCUCGUGGUCCCUAGUCGGGUUCGUUAACCACUGAGCCACGACGGGAACUCCAAUACGAUUUAUUCUUAUCCUUUAAGAAUAAAUUGAUUUUAGGAAUGAUCAGUCAUUCCAAGUUCACCUUCUGGGGGAAUUUAGAGACCAAGCUGGAUAAGCCAUCUAUGACCAAAACCUUUAGAAGUGAGAGUUUUCCUGCUCAUGUAGUAUCUUUCCAUUUAUUAAUUACUUUCAGUUUGCUUUUUAUUCCUGUGCUUCCCCAGGGAAGUUGAAAUAACUUUCAAAUGAAGAUUGUGAUCCAAUUACCGAAUCCAAAGUUUCCUCCCUUAAUAUUGAUCACCCUUAAUCUUCCUGCAUCAUUUGAUUCUGUUAAAUUAAUCAAGAAUGUAGUACAUCAAAGCACCUGACACUGUCUGGUAGUACAUUCUCAAAUUUUAUAAAAAGGCACUUUCUCGCCCUUGCUGGAAACUCUGCUCCCUUGAUUUUGUGAUAAAGCUUCACGAUGGGCUUUUCCUUUUCUUCCAUCAUUAGUGUAGACAUUCCUGUUUAUGAUUCAAUCCACCCUUGACUCCUUUGCACCCAUAGUUGCCUCAAAUCUUUGGUGGAGAAAGGUGGUAUUUAAAUCUAAAUAUAUCAACAGGAUUGUCUCAUCCUGUUGCACUAGUUCUGGCCGUUUCUUCCUAAGCAUCCUGUUGGAGCUCUGAUACCAACAGGGCUUCCAAACUUCAAAACUUCUCCUCUUCCCAAUCCAGAUAAGUUCUGAAUUUCCUUUUUCAGUUGAUGGCAAGAUUUUUUUUUUUUCUAGUUACAAGUUACAAAAUUCUGAAGUCAUCUUUCACAGCCUCCCAAGGCCCCCGCCCCUUAAAUUCUCCCACCUCUAUGCCAACUGUCCACUUUCUCUCCCUUUUCUGCUCCCACUGGGAAAUCACUACCCAUAAUCUGGGCUGUUACCCUUUUAACUGGCCUCCCCAUUCCAAUAUUUUUCUUUCUCUAAUUCUAGAUAUUGGAUCCACAAAGAACCUAUUUUUGCAGUUUGUGACAAAGACAUCCCAAAUUUGAAGCCCCAAAUACAAAAACAAAUUGAUAACUUACUUUUUUUUUAAACAAAUUCAAAAGUCCAUACAGCAGUACAAUAAUUUUUAAAAACACUUGAAAUUGAAAUAGCCUGGAAGGGCAGUAGAUUAGAUAUUGGAUCUUCCAUGUUCCCGUUUAUAGGAACAGUCUACUCUUAAGCUCACAGUCUUCAGUGGAUCUCUAUACCAACCAAUGAGGUACAAGUUCAACUUGGAGUUCAUGGCCCUCACCUGCUGCUAUGCCACCUUACUCACCACACGUGUGUGUAUGAUACUUAUGCAUAUAUUCCUUAUAUUCUUGACCAUUCAUGGGUCUCUGAGAUUGUUUCAUGCUUUCCUAACUACUUACCUGUAUCUAUGCUAUUUCUGCCACCUAGAAAACCAUCCUACUCUCUGAUCACCUUCUACUUCUUGAAACCCUAACUGCCCUUAAAGGUCCACUUAAAAUGUCCCAUCUUUUAUGAUUUCCUGAGGGCUCCAACUUUUAAAUCGCUAUUUGUUGGCUCUUAGGGUACUUGUCAAUAGUAUCAUUCUGUUCAAUAGUAUCAUUAUCUAUAUUUUUGCCCUGUUUUCCCCACCAGAUUAUAAAUUCUGUGUUUGAGGCCAAGGUCUGCAUCUCAUGUCCACAUCUUCAUGGAGCUAAUUAUAUUGAGCAUGUCGUAGUUGUUGGGUAUAAUGUAAAGAGAUCUUUUUCCUUGUUUGAGUGAUAAAUUGGAAUUAUAAUUCCAGGAGUUCCCUCUGCCAUGCAGAGGGUUAAGUUUCCGGCGUUGUCUCUGUGGUGGCACAGGUUCAGUCCCCAGCCCUGUACAGUGGGUGAGGGAUCUGGUGUUCAGCAGCUGUAGUGUGACUCGCUGCAGCUUGGAUUCAGAUUGGAUCCCUGGACUGGAAACUUCCUGAUGCCUUGGAUGUGGUCAGAAAAGUAAAGAAAAAAGAAAAGAUAGUUCUAAAAAGGUUUUGAGCAAUGUCCGCAUAUUUAGAAAUACUGUACAGCCUCCAAAAACCUAGAGAAGGUCAAAUUUAUCUGAAUGGUUAAAUCGAGUCCACUCAUUCAAAACCAGUUACUUCUCUUCCUGUGUUUGGUUGUCUCUUAACUUAUAGUAGCCCAGCUGGGAUUAGGUUGAGGUGAGCUGCAUACUCUUAGCACUCCACAAGUGCCCCGUCAGUAGCUGCAAAGAAUCCCUUAGAGACUGACCAAGAUUUUUCUUUCUACACAGGCUUAUAAGUAGGGAGAAUGUGUUCAAACACAGCAUUCAUUCUUCUACUUGUCAGCCGUAAAAAUAAGUUUAUUAAGAUGGAUUAGUACAUUUUUCAACUUAGUAUGUUUUCAAGUUAGGUUUUUUUGGACCCAAUUAUGAGAAUGCAUCUAAAUAUUUAUUUGAGCAAUGAUUUUCUUGGUUAUCUUGGAAUUAUUACCCAGCAUUGCUAUUCGUCUUUUCCUUUGAUUAUAUCUUUUUUGUCAUUUAACGCAGCCUGAGAGUUUCUUACCUAUGAGAUUUUAUAUUUUGUAUAUUAAAGGCAUUCAACUUAACCAAAUCUUUGAAAUUUAUGAAUAUUUUUCCUUGAAUGGGGAGUAUUUGCAUUAUAAAUGGGAAACUUUAUUAAAAUAUAUGACCCUGAAUUUCUAUAAUCUCUGUUUUCCCAUUGAUUUGUAAAAACUCCUUAAAUAUUUCAGUAGCAAAUUAGUAAAGAUAUCAUUAGUCAUUUCACAGGAAAAAUAGAAAUAAACAAGCAUGGACUAAAUAUACUGAUUAAAAAAGCCCUAGGAGGAGGGAGUGGGAUGGACUGGGAGUUUGGGGUUAGUAGAUGCACACUAUAGCAUUUAGAUAAGCAUUUAGAUAAGAUUGUGCUGUACAGCACAGGGAACUAUAUUUAAUCACUUGUGAUGGAGGAUAAUGUGAGAAAAAGAGUAUGCGUGUGACUGGGUCACUUUACUGUACAGCAGAAAUUGACAGAGCAUUGUAAAUCAACUAUAAU
This 3970-nucleotide long non-coding RNA is filed under the name Sus scrofa (pig). RNAcentral describes it as "lncRNA (ENSSSCG00000057435.1)". The record is from RNAcentral. Lineage: Eukaryota; Metazoa; Chordata; Mammalia; Artiodactyla; Suidae.